Lynx canadensis (Canada lynx) is the source of this 2134-nucleotide long non-coding RNA. RefSeq lists it as uncharacterized. The transcript is spliced from 4 exons. The record is from RefSeq and is a predicted model, not a curated record. NCBI's taxonomy places the organism in Eukaryota, Metazoa, Chordata, Mammalia, Carnivora, Felidae.
AACCAUGAGAUCAUGACCUGAGCUGAAGUUGGAUGCUUAACUGACUGAGCCACCCAGGAACCUCCAACCCUCUUAGUAUUAAAUACAAACUCAGGCCCUCCUUAUAUUUAGCAUGAAUUACAGUACCAGUUUCCUGUCUGGUCAUCCUAUUAAUGUCUCCCAACUCAUCCUUCACUAUACUACAGAUCUAGUUAUAUCAUCUCUUAAUUUAAAAUUCUCCAUUGGUUUCUUAGGGAUAAAGUCCAAAUCCUUCCCAUGAUACACAAGGCUUCUCAAGAUGUGGCUCCUUCCCACCUCCUUUCCAACCUUUAAUGCCUGCCAGCGGCCCAGAACAUGCAAUCCUCUCUCAUUUCCAACCUUUGCACCUUUCCUCUGCCCGGAAUGCCCUUUUCCUCUAUUCACCUAGCAAAUGUCUGCUUGUUCUUUACUAUUCAUGACACUUGUCAUCUCUUCUCAAAGGCCUUCUAUGGUCUCCAGCAGAGUAAAGUCCUCCUUACCCUUCAUGCUCUUCGAGGUCCCUGUCCACAUUUCAGCAAUGGACUAGGGGAGUCAUGUCUCACCAGUUUCAAGACCCAGAAGGCAUGCUAUCAACCUCCUUUCCCUCUAUAUAUCCUCAACACCAUUUGUGGUACCUAGGAUUUGGAAAGCACUCAUAUGUUUGCUGAAAAAAUGGCUUUUGAUGAGUUUUUAUGAUUCUAAUAGCCUAAAACAGCAAGCAGUAAGCUAUUUCUAUGGCAGAAAUUAAGUCAGAAAAAAAAGGAAGAAAUACUGAUUUUUCUUUAGAAAAGUAGAGUCAGAAAGUUUAGCAUAUGAAGCAAACAAUUACUAAAAAUUAAGAGCUAAAUAAAACAAAGAAAAUAAAUUACAUUGUCUUUACCCACUCAAUGGAGAAGUUAUUCUUAAGUAUUAGUUAUAGCAAACCACAAAGGGAAAGUAAGAAAAGGAAACAGUAGUCACCUUAUUUUAUGACAUUCUACCUCAGAUUUGCUGUACACACAUCAAUACAGAUGUAACUGCAGAUAUGAAAAAACUGGAUUCAGAUGUGCUGAUAUAAAACCAUGCACAAACUGCCUUAAGUGGAAAAAAACAGGGAAAGGAGAACCCAUGAGAAUUGACUGAUGGCACUUGUGUGAGCCAGGAAAGAAGGCUGGAAAGCACCUCUUCAGAGUUCCUCCGUGCCUCAUCCUUUGAAGGGCAGAGUCCUACUCGGCCAGGAGAGCAGAGGAGGAGAGGAGGAAAGGAGCGAUUUCCCUCUGGUCCUCAUGGAUGGAAUCAGACCCCACAGUUUUCAAAGUCACCAGCCAGGGGCCUGAAGACAAGAUCAAACCAGGAACAACAAAGGUGGGAGCUGCCUCUCCUCUAACUGCCCCCAGGGCCUACAAGGAGGGACACAAACAUCAUGAGUCAUCAAGAACCUGGGCUGGCAAAGCAGUUCACCUGAGCCAAGAAUCGGUACACAGAGACACUCCUCAAGAAUAAAUAAGUACUUUGUGGGCCAUCUGGCAAGAAAAGUUUUUGAAAAAGUCCAUCUACCAGCCAUUGGAGGUUGGACAGGAAGUGUGCAAGUUCUUGGAGAGAAGGAAAAUGGCAUGAUACAGUACAAGAGCACCCAGUAUAAGGCUAUGCCUGUAUGUUUCCUUGGUUUCUCAACCUCAGUGCUAAUAACGUUGUGAGCCACAGAAUUCUUUGUUGUGAAGAGCUGUUCAGUGUACUAUAGGAUGUUUAACAUCCUCCCCGGCCUCUACCCAUUAUCUGUUAGUAGUGCUAUCUCUUGUAACAACCUAAAAUGUCUCCAGCCAAUGCACAUGUCCACUUGUGCAGUUUCGGGUGAGGGGGAGCAGGGCAUUGCCCCUGGAUGAGAUGAUAGCUGAAGAAGAGCUUCACUAACGGAUAGAAUCAGACUUAACUGGUUAAGUGACUAUUCAUCUCCACAAGACCCACACACAGGUCAAUUGGGACAAUGUGCCAAGUGCCUAAAAACCUUCAGGCCUCUUCCAAUUUCAACACCUUAUGCUCUAUUUAAUAUGAUAUAUUAAAGCCUUAAAAAUGAGCAUAAAUCUAGUGUUGCCUGGGUGGCUCAGUGGGUUAACCGUCCACCUUUGGCUCAGGUCAUGAUCUCGCGGUUCGUGGGUUU